Molecule: ribosomal RNA, 305 nt
Filed under: uncultured bacterium
Lineage: Bacteria
Description: bacterial SSU rRNA
Rfam family: Bacterial small subunit ribosomal RNA
Source: RNAcentral
UCCCACGGGGGGCAGCAGUGGGGAAUAUUGCACAAUGGGGGAAACCCUGAUGCAGCGACGCCGCGUGGGCGAGGAAGUACCUCGGUAUGUAAAGCCCUAUCAGCAGGGAAGAAACAGGACAGUACCUGACUAAGAAGCCCCGGCUAACUACGUGCCAGCAGCCGCGGUAAUACGGAGGGUGCAAGCGUUACUCGGAAUCACUGGGUGUAAAGGGAGCGUAGACGGUGAUGCAAGUCUGGAGUGAAAGGCGGGGGCCCAACCCCCGGACUGCUCUGGAAACUGUGUAACUUGAGUGCAGGAGAGGU